UUCACCCCAAUUACCGAUCACACUUUAGGCGGCUGCCCCCCUUGCGGGUUAGCCCACCGACUUCUAGUGCAACCGACUUUCGUGAUGUGACGGGCGGUGUGUACAAGGCCCGGGAACGUAUUCACCGCGGCGUUCUGAUCCGCGAUUACUAGCGAUUCCAGCUUCAUGCACUCGAGUUGCAGAGUACAAUCCGAACUGAGAACGGCUUUUUGAGAUUAGCUCCACCUCACGGCUUUGCGACUCCUUGUACCGUCCAUUGUAGCACGUGUGUAGCCCUGGACAUAAAGGCCAUGAGGACUUGACGUCAUCCCCACCUUCCUCCGGUUUAUCACCGGCAGUCUCCAUAGAGUUCUCGCCACUACGCGUUAGCAACUAUGGACAAGGGUUGCGCUCGUUGCGGGACUUAACCCAACAUCUCACGACACGAGCUGACGACAGCCAUGCAGCACCUAUGCACCGGCCUCCGAAG
Molecule: ribosomal RNA, 469 nt
Filed under: uncultured soil bacterium
Lineage: Bacteria
Description: partial 16S ribosomal RNA
Source: RNAcentral